AACGAACGCUGGCGGCAUGCCUAACACAUGCAAGUCGAACGAGCCCUUCGGGGUUAGUGGCGCACGGGUGCGUAACGCGUGGGAAUCUGCCCUUGGGUUCGGAAUAACUCGCCGAAAGGCGUGCUAAUACCGGAUGAUGUCGAAAGACCAAAGAUUUAUCGCCCAAGGAUGAGCCCGCGUAAGAUUAGGUAGUUGGUGAGGUAAAGGCUCACCAAGCCGACGAUCUUUAGCUGGUCUGAGAGGAUGAUCAGCCACACUGGGACUGAGACACGGCCCAGACUCCUACGGGAGGCAGCAGUGGGGAAUAUUGGACAAUGGGCGAAAGCCUGAUCCAGCAAUGCCGCGUGAGUGAUGAAGGCCUUAGGGUUGUAAAGCUCUUUUACCCGGGAUGAUAAUGACAGUACCGGGAGAAUAAGCUCCGGCUAACUCCGUG
This 433-nucleotide ribosomal RNA is filed under the name uncultured organism. RNAcentral's name for it is "bacterial SSU rRNA". It matches the Rfam family "Bacterial small subunit ribosomal RNA", at positions 29 to 507 of the family's 1533-position model. The record is from RNAcentral.